RNAcentral lists this unclassified non-coding RNA (892 nucleotides) under Hevea brasiliensis (rubber tree). The record is from RNAcentral. Lineage: Eukaryota; Viridiplantae; Streptophyta; Magnoliopsida; Malpighiales; Euphorbiaceae.
GUUAUGUGAUAUAUUGCAGGUGUCUAAAUAUUAAGUUAACAACUUGAUUGCAGUGAGUAAUUAAAAGAAGUUUAGAGCAAGUGACAAGAUAUCACAUAACCCUCGAUCAUAUAAUGAUCUGCAAGCAUGUAGUCCAAUGGAAACACACAUACGUAGCCACAAAAUAAUUUAUGUUCCAAUAAAAAUAAGCUCUCCCAUUGGAUGUAUUUGAUUAUUGUGCUGAUUCGUCAUUUUUUAUUUCACAGAAAUUUUUUUAUUUUUUGCUGAAUUAAAGCUUGCUCGAUGGAACCCCAACUGGUGCUUCUCUGGAUCUCUUUUCUACAGCUCGAGAAAGCUUCUUGACCGCAUCUUUUGGCAGAUGACGAGGUCGGCUCAGCCAAAGUCCUCCAUCAACAAUUACAGUGGUUCCAUUAACAAAUUUACCAGCAUCAGAAGUUAGGUAGAGAGCAGCCAUAGCAAUGUCCCAUUUCUUCCCCAAUUUAUACAGAGGCAUGUAUUCUUUUGCUUUGCUAUUAAUCUCCUUGGGCACAAGUUUACUCAUGCCAGGGGUAUCAUCAAUGGGGCCUGGAGCAAUCCCAUUCACCCUAAUAUCAUAGUCGGUGCCCCACUCCAAUGCCAGAUUUCUGGCAAUAGCAUCAACAGCUGCCUUCGCAGCUGAUACAUGAAUCUGAUACCAAGAUGCUGUAUAGUGCAACGUAGCACUAAUGUUUAAAAUUGUUCCACCACCAGAUGAGCUUCGUCCAAGCCCUCCUUUCUUGAGAUACUUGAGGGCUUCAUGGCACAUUGUGAAGGUGCCAACAGCAUCGAUAUCCAAAACUGUUCGAAAUCCAUUAGGCGACAAAUCCUCCGGCGAUACAAGAAAGUUGCCAGCUGCAGCAUUCACAAGAAUGUC